UACGUAGGGGGCAAGCGUUGUCCGGAAUCAUUGGGCGUAAAGAGCGUGUAGGCGGCUCGAUAAGUCUGCUGUGAAAGUCCAGGGCUCAACCCUGGAAGGCCGGUGGAAACUGUCGGGCUAGAGUCCGGAAGAGGCGAGUGGAAUUCCCGGUGUAGCGGUGAAAUGCGCAGAUAUCGGGAGGAACACCAAUGGCGAAGGCAGCUCGCUGGGACGGUACUGACGCUGAGACGCGAAAGCGUGGGGAGCAAGCAGG
RNAcentral lists this ribosomal RNA (253 nucleotides) under uncultured bacterium. Its description in RNAcentral is "partial 16S ribosomal RNA". It matches the Rfam family "Bacterial small subunit ribosomal RNA", at positions 524 to 776 of the family's 1533-position model. The record is from RNAcentral.